GACGAACGCUGGCGGCAGGCCUAACACAUGCAAGUCGAACGCCGUAGCAAUACGGAGUGGCAGACGGGUGAGUAACACGUGGGAACAUACCCUUCGGUUCGGAAUAACUCAGGGAAACUUGAGCUAACACCUUAUAAUGUCUUCGGACCAAAUAUUUAUAGCCUAGAGAUGAGCCCGCGGUAGAUUAGCUAGUUGGUGGGGUAAUGGCCUACCAAGGCAACGAUCUAUAGCUGGCUGAGAGGAUGACCAGCCACACUGGGACUGAGACACGGCCCAGACUCCUACGGGAGGCAGCAGUGGGGAAUAUUGGGCAAUGGACGCAAGUCUGACCCAGCUAUGCCGCGUGAAUGAUGAAGGCCUUAGGGUCGUAAAGUUCUUUUACCAGGGAAGAUGAUGACGGUACCUGGAGAAAAGACUCCGGCUAACUUCGUGCCAGCCGCCGCAGUAAG
RNAcentral lists this ribosomal RNA (449 nucleotides) under uncultured bacterium. RNAcentral's name for it is "bacterial SSU rRNA". It matches the Rfam family "Bacterial small subunit ribosomal RNA", at positions 28 to 524 of the family's 1533-position model. The record is from RNAcentral.